AAUCCAUAGGUUAAUGAGGCGAACCGGGGGAACUGAAACAUCUAAGUACCCCGAGGAAAAGAAAUCAACCGAGAUUCCCCCAGUAGCGGCGAGCGAACGGGGAGGAGCCCAGAGCCUGAAUCAGCAUGUGUGUUAGUGGAAGCGUCUGGAAAGGCGCGCGAUACAGGGUGACAGCCCCGUACACAAAAGCGCAUGUGCUGUGAGCUCGAUGAGUAGGGCGGGACACGUGGUAUCCUGUCUGAAUAUGGGGGGACCAUCCUCCAAGGCUAAAUACUCCUGACUGACCGAUAGUGAACCAGUACCGUGAGGGAAAGGCGAAAAGAACCCCGGCGAGGGGAGUGAAAAAGAACCUGAAACCGUGUACGUACAAGCAGUGGGAGCACCCUUUGGGUGUGACUGCGUACCUUUUGUAUAAUGGGUCAGCGACUUAUAUUCUGUAGCAAGGUUAACCGAAUAGGGGAGCCGGAGGGAAACCGAGUCUUAAUUGGGCGUUAAGUUGCAGGGUAUAGACCCGAAACCCGGUGAUCUAGCCAUGGGCAGGUUGAAGGUUGGGUAACACUAACUGGAGGACCGAACCGACUAAUGUUGAAAAAUUAGCGGAUGACCUGUGGCUGGGGGUGAAAGGCCAAUCAAACCGGGAGAUAGCUGGUUCUCCCCGAAAGCUAUUUAGGUAGCGCCUCGUGAAUUCAUCUCCGGGGGUAGAGCACUGUUUCGGCUAGGGGGCCAUCCCGGCUUACCAACCCGAUGCAAACUGCGAAUACCGGAGAAUGUUAUCACGGGAGACACACGGCGGGUGCUAACGUCCGUCGUGAAGAGGGAAACAACCCAGACCGCCAGCUAAGGUCCCAAAGUCAUGGUUAAGUGGGAAACGAUGUGGGAAGGCCCAGACAGCCAGGAUGUUGGCUUAGAAGCAGCCAUCAUUUAAAGAAAGCGUAAUAGCUCACUGGUCGAGUCGGCCUGCGCGGAAGAUGUAACGGGGCUAAACCAUGCACCGAAGCUGCGGCAGCGAACGUAUCACUUAAAGCGAUUCAGCGGGUUACGAUUGACGGAGCGAAGCGACGUCAAAGCGUAUACAAAGUCGAGUCGGUUUAAGGAUACGUUCGUUGGGUAGGGGAGCGUUCUGUAAGCCUGCGAAGGUGGCCUGUGAGGGUUGCUGGAGGUAUCAGAAGUGCGAAUGCUGACAUAAGUAACGAUAAAGCGGGUGAAAAGCCCGCUCGCCGGAAGACCAAGGGUUCCUGUCCAACGUUAAUCGGGGCAGGGUGAGUCGACCCCUAAGGCGAGGCCGAAAGGCGUAGUCGAUGGGAAACGGGUUAAUAUUCCCGUACUUGGUGUUACUGCGAAGGGGGGACGGAGAAGGCUAUGUUGGCCGGGCGACGGUUGUCCCGGUUUAAGCGUGUAGGCUGGUUUUCCAGGCAAAUCCGGAAAAUCAAGGCUGAGGCGUGAUGACGAGGCACUACGGUGCUGAAGCAACAAAUGCCCUGCUUCCAGGAAAAGCCUCUAAGCAUCAGGUAACAUCAAAUCGUACCCCAAACCGACACAGGUGGUCAGGUAGAGAAUACCAAGGCGCUUGAGAGAACUCGGGUGAAGGAACUAGGCAAAAUGGUGCCGUAACUUCGGGAGAAGGCACGCUGACACGUAGGUGAAGUGAUUUACUCACGGAGCUGAAGUCAGUCGAAGAUACCAGCUGGCUGCAACUGUUUAUUAAAAACACAGCACUGUGCAAACACGAAAGUGGACGUAUACGGUGUGACGCCUGCCCGGUGCCGGAAGGUUAAUUGAUGGGGUCAGCGCAAGCGAAGCUCCUGAUCGAAGCCCCGGUAAACGGCGGCCGUAACUAUAACGGUCCUAAGGUAGCGAAAUUCCUUGUCGGGUAAGUUCCGACCUGCACGAAUGGCGUAAUGAUGGCCAGGCUGUCUCCACCCGAGACUCAGUGAAAUUGAACUCGCUGUGAAGAUGCAGUGUACCCGCGGCAAGACGGAAAGACCCCGUGAACCUUUACUAUAGCUUGACACUGAACAUUGAGCCUUGAUGUGUAGGAUAGGUGGGAGGCUUUGAAGUGUGGACGCCAGUCUGC
RNAcentral lists this ribosomal RNA (2074 nucleotides) under Salmonella enterica subsp. enterica serovar Enteritidis. Its description in RNAcentral is "partial 23S ribosomal RNA". It matches the Rfam family "Bacterial large subunit ribosomal RNA", at positions 161 to 2179 of the family's 2925-position model. Lineage: Bacteria; Pseudomonadati; Pseudomonadota; Gammaproteobacteria; Enterobacterales; Enterobacteriaceae. The record is from RNAcentral.